GGGUCCGUGGUGUAGCCAGGAUAGCACAUGGGGCUUCGGACCCCACAGCCCGGGUUCAAAUCCCGGCGGACCCG
This 74-nucleotide transfer RNA is filed under the name Candidatus Hydrothermarchaeota archaeon. Its description in RNAcentral is "tRNA-Arg". It matches the Rfam family "tRNA". From Rfam's summary of the family: Transfer RNA (tRNA) molecules are approximately 80 nucleotides in length. Lineage: Archaea; Methanobacteriati; Candidatus Hydrothermarchaeota. The record is from RNAcentral.